AAACUAGACUAUCAAUAACAACUCAUAAACUAUAGCUGAAAUGUUUGUAGUUGCAAGAGUUCUCUCGUUUUUAGUUCAGAAAAAAAAAAAAGAGUUCUUUGGUUUAAAUGAUACUCGUUAUAUAUAAAGAUGUUAGAAGUCAUGUGUUGCAAAAUAUUUAAAGCCAUGUGUUCUGUCUAUCUAAGCUCGUAUAACAUGAAAUAUUUUGGAACCUAAAGUAUAUGCUAUCACAGCACAUCCGCCAAAGUAACUAGUUGUGGAUCCAAUAAGAUGUACCAAAGUAAUUACAAGGUCUAGACUGCUGAGUUGGAGAGGUAACCGCGAUAUAAUAAGUAGUAUUCAAUCAUCAAUGCCGUGGA
This 359-nucleotide long non-coding RNA is filed under the name Brassica napus (rape). RNAcentral describes it as "long non-coding RNA (BNAP_LNC017409)". Lineage: Eukaryota; Viridiplantae; Streptophyta; Magnoliopsida; Brassicales; Brassicaceae. The record is from RNAcentral.